RNAcentral lists this ribosomal RNA (253 nucleotides) under uncultured bacterium. RNAcentral's name for it is "partial 16S ribosomal RNA". It matches the Rfam family "Bacterial small subunit ribosomal RNA", at positions 524 to 776 of the family's 1533-position model. The record is from RNAcentral.
UACGAAGGGGGCUAGCGUUGCUCGGAAUUACUGGGCGUAAAGGGCGCGUAGGCGGAUGUUUAAGUCAGAGGUGAAAGCCCAGGGCUCAACCUUGGAACUGCCUUUGAUACUGGACAUCUUGAGUACGGGAGAGGUGAGUGGAACUCCGAGUGUAGAGGUGAAAUUCGUAGAUAUUCGGAAGAACACCAGUGGCGAAGGCGACUCACUGGCCCGUUACUGACGCUGAGGCGCGAAAGCGUGGGGAGCAAACAGG